AUUGAACGCUGGCGGCAUGCCUAACACAUGCAAGUCGAACGGCAGCACAGCAGUAGCAAUACUGUGGGUGGCGAGUGGCGGACGGGUGAGGAAUACGUCGGAAUCUGCCCAGUCGUGGGGGGAUAACUAGCCGAAAGGUUAGCUAAUACCGCAUACGACCGAGAGGUGAAAGCGGGGGGACCGCAAGGCCUCGCGCGAUUGGAUGAGCCGACGUCGGAUUAGCUAGUUGGCGGGGUAAAGGCCCACCAAGGCGACGAUCCGUAGCUGGUCUGAGAGGAUGAUCAGCCACACUGGAACUGAGACACGGUCCAGACUCCUACGGGAGGCAGCAGUGAGGAAUAUUGCGCAAUGGGCGAAAGCCUGACGCAGCGACGCCGCGUGGGGGAUGAAGGUUUUCGGAUUGUAAACCCCUUUCAUGAGGAAAGAUAAAGUGGGUAACCACUUAGACGGUACCUCAAGAAGAAGCCACGGCUAACUUCGUGCCAGCAGCCGCGGUAA
Molecule: ribosomal RNA, 498 nt
Filed under: uncultured bacterium
Lineage: Bacteria
Description: bacterial SSU rRNA
Rfam family: Bacterial small subunit ribosomal RNA
Source: RNAcentral